UUCCCUGGUGCUCUGGACAUUUAAGGUUGA
Molecule: non-coding RNA, 30 nt
Filed under: Mus musculus (house mouse)
Lineage: Eukaryota; Metazoa; Chordata; Mammalia; Rodentia; Muridae
Source: RNAcentral